This 797-nucleotide ribosomal RNA is filed under the name Clostridioides difficile. RNAcentral describes it as "partial 23S ribosomal RNA". It matches the Rfam family "Bacterial large subunit ribosomal RNA", at positions 1908 to 2703 of the family's 2925-position model. Lineage: Bacteria; Bacillati; Bacillota; Clostridia; Peptostreptococcales; Peptostreptococcaceae. The record is from RNAcentral.
UGAACUUAAGCCCCAGUAAACGGCGGCCGUAACUAUAACGGUCCUAAGGUAGCGAAAUUCCUUGUCGGGUAAGUUCCGACCCGCACGAAAGGCGUAACGAUUUGGGCACUGUCUCAACAACAGACUCGGUGAAAUUGUAAUUCCGGUGAAGAUGCCGGAUACCUGCGACAGGACGGAAAGACCCCAUGGAGCUUUACUGUAGCUUGACAUUGGGUCUUGGUACUACAUGUACAGGAUAGGUGGGAGGCUUUGAAACCAGGACGCCAGUUUUGGCGGAGCCAUCCUUGGGAUACCACCCUUGUAGUACUGGGACUCUAACCAUAGGCCAUGAAUCUGGUCUUGGGACACUGUCAGGUGGGCAGUUUGACUGGGGCGGUCGCCUCCCAAAAGGUAACGGAGGCGCUCAAAGGUUCUCUCAGUACGGUCGGAAAUCGUACGUAGAGUGUAAAGGCAAAAGAGAGCUUGAUUGCAAGACAUACAGGUCGAGCAAGGAUGAAAAUCGGACUUAGUGAUCCGGUGGUUCUGCGUGGAAGGGCCAUCGCUCAACGGAUAAAAGCUACCCUGGGGAUAACAGGCUUAUCUCCCCCAAGAGUCCACAUCGACGGGGAGGUUUGGCACCUCGAUGUCGGCUCAUCACAUCCUGGGGCUGUAGUAGGUCCCAAGGGUUGGGCUGUUCGCCCAUUAAAGUGGUACGCGAGCUGGGUUCAGAACGUCGUGAGACAGUUCGGUCCCUAUCCGUCGCAGGCGUAGGAAAUUUGAGAAGACCUGUCCUUAGUACGAGAGGACCGGGAUGGACG